GGCCGGUUAGCUCAGUCAGUUGAGCGUGGCUUUAACAAUGCCAAGGAUGCGGAUUCGAUUCCCGUUCAGUCCC
This is a non-coding RNA of Apaloderma vittatum (bar-tailed trogon), 73 nucleotides long. The record is from Rfam. NCBI's taxonomy places the organism in Eukaryota, Metazoa, Chordata, Aves, Trogoniformes, Trogonidae.